Caenorhabditis elegans is the source of this 108-nucleotide small nucleolar RNA. The record is from Ensembl. Lineage: Eukaryota; Metazoa; Nematoda; Chromadorea; Rhabditida; Rhabditidae.
CUCACGCUCAUUCCAAAUUAUCCCCAUCUGACCCCGGACUGUUUUAUCCAAACCUAUACUGAUGUAUAUUGUAUGCGGCAUGUUAUUUUUUCAUAACCACAAGCAUUU